Molecule: unclassified non-coding RNA, 204 nt
Filed under: uncultured Ascomycota
Lineage: Eukaryota; Fungi; Ascomycota
Also listed under: 1 other name
Description: sequence contains ITS2
Source: RNAcentral
CACACUCCAAGCUCUGCUUGAUGCUGGGUGAAGCGCGGCCCCCUGGCGACGGGGGGAAAGCGCACGCCUGUAACACGUUGGCGGCCGCCGCCGGACGACGAGCGUAGCACGACUUUUUUACAUGGUCAAGAUCGCUGUGUCGGCUCCGGCGGGGGGUCUCGCCCAGUCUUGUACGGGCUGCUGUAUGUAGCGGUCCGUAAGAGA